Molecule: ribosomal RNA, 279 nt
Filed under: uncultured bacterium
Lineage: Bacteria
Description: partial 16S ribosomal RNA
Rfam family: Bacterial small subunit ribosomal RNA
Source: RNAcentral
UGCCAGCCGCCGCGGUAAUACGGAGGGGGCGAGCGUUAUUCGGAAUUACUGGGCGUAAAGGGUGCGUAGGCGGCCCAUCAAGUUAGACGUGAAAGCCCCGGGCUCAACCUGGGAAUUGCGUUCAAUACUGGUGAGCUAGAGUACGAGAGAGGAAAGUGGAAUUCCUAGUGUAGAGGUGAAAUGCGUAGAUAUCAGGAGGAACACCGGUGGCGAAAGCGGAUCACUGGGUCUUUUCUGACGCUGAGGCACGAAAGCUAGGGUAGCGAACAGGAUUAGAUA